Molecule: ribosomal RNA, 279 nt
Filed under: uncultured bacterium
Lineage: Bacteria
Description: partial 16S ribosomal RNA
Rfam family: Bacterial small subunit ribosomal RNA
Source: RNAcentral
UGCCAGCCGCCGCGGUAAUACGGAGGGUGCAAGCGUUGUUCGGAAUUAUUGGGCGUAAAGCGGGUGUAGGCUGUUGGGCAAGUCAAGUGUGAAAUCCCUGGGCCCAACCCAGGAACUGCACUCGAAACUGCUCGGCUAGAGUCCCGGAGAGGGUGGCAGAAUUCCCGGUGUAGAGGUGAAAUUCGUAGAUAUCGGGAGGAAUACCAGUGGCGAAGGCGGCCACCUGGACGGUGACUGACGCUCAGACCCGAAAGCGUGGGGAGCGAACAGGAUUAGAUA